UACGGAGGGGGCUAGCGUUGUUCGGAAUUACUGGGCGUAAAGCGCACGUAGGCGGCUUUGUAAGUUAGAGGUGAAAGCCCAGGGCUUAACCCUGGAAUUGCCUUUAAGACUGCAUCGCUAGAAUCGUGGAGAGGUGAGUGGAAUUCCGAGUGUAGAGGUGAAAUUCGUAGAUAUUCGGAAGAACACCAGUGGCGAAGGCGACUCACUGGCCCAUUACUGACGCUGAGGCGCGAAAGCGUGGGGAGCAAACAGG
RNAcentral lists this ribosomal RNA (253 nucleotides) under uncultured bacterium. RNAcentral describes it as "partial 16S ribosomal RNA". It matches the Rfam family "Bacterial small subunit ribosomal RNA", at positions 524 to 776 of the family's 1533-position model. The record is from RNAcentral.